ACGUACACUCCUACGGGAGGCAGCAGUGGGGAAUCUUGCGCAAUGGGCGAAAGCCUGACGCAGCCAUGCCGCGUGAAUGAUGAAGGUCUUAGGAUUGUAAAAUUCUUUCACCGGGGACGAUAAUGACGGUACCCGGAGAAGAAGCCCCGGCUAACUUCGUGCCAGCAGCCGCGGUAAUACGAAGGGGGCUAGCGUUGCUCGGAAUUACUGGGCGUAAAGGGAGCGUAGGCGGACAUUUAAGUCAGGGGUGAAAUCCCGGGGCUCAACCUCGGAAUUGCCUUUGAUACUGGGUGUCUUGAGUAUGAGAGAGGUGUGUGGAACUCCGAGUGUAGAGGUGAAAUUCGUAGAUAUUCGGAAGAACACCAGUGGCGAAGGCGACACACUGGCUCAUUACUGACGCUGAGGCUCGAAAGCGUGGGGAGCAAACAGGAUUAGAAACCCCAGUAGUCCCAUG
Molecule: ribosomal RNA, 454 nt
Filed under: uncultured organism
Description: partial 16S ribosomal RNA
Rfam family: Bacterial small subunit ribosomal RNA
Source: RNAcentral